RNAcentral lists this ribosomal RNA (255 nucleotides) under uncultured bacterium. RNAcentral describes it as "partial 16S ribosomal RNA". It matches the Rfam family "Bacterial small subunit ribosomal RNA", at positions 524 to 776 of the family's 1533-position model. The record is from RNAcentral.
GACGUAGGGCGCAAGCGUUGUCCGGAUUUAUUGGGCGUAAAGAGCUCGUAGGCGGCUCGUUGCGUCGGCUGUGAAAACCCGCAGCUCAACUGUGGGCUUGCAGCCGAUACGGGCGGGCUGGAGUUCGGUAGGGGAGACUGGAAUUCCUGGUGGUAGCGGUGAAAAUGCGCAGAUAUCAGGAGGAACACCGGUGGCGAAGGCGGGUCUCUGGGCCGAUACUGACGCUGAGGAGCGAAAGCGUGGGGAGCGAACAGG